Peromyscus californicus insignis is the source of this 284-nucleotide long non-coding RNA. RefSeq lists it as uncharacterized. The record is from RefSeq and is a predicted model, not a curated record. The transcript has 2 exons. NCBI's taxonomy places the organism in Eukaryota, Metazoa, Chordata, Mammalia, Rodentia, Cricetidae.
GCCACCAGGACUGAUGACCUGAGAUUAAUUCCUGGAACCCACUUGAUGGAAGGAGAAGAUUGACUCCUGCAGGCUGUCCUUUGACCUCCAUGUGAGCGCUAUGGUGUCAUCCAGUAAAGGCUGAAAGCAUGCUAAGUGGAAUGCAAUUGCUUGAUUUCUCAUAAUGCCCCCUCAAGGUAUGUGCUGCCAUCUCUACUUCUCAAGAGAAGAAGGGGGCAUUCAGAGAAGCCAGAAUCCCUGUUCAAAUAGUAACUUAACAAAGUAAAUAAACUUAAUAAAGAUUC